Felis catus (domestic cat) is the source of this 1116-nucleotide long non-coding RNA. RefSeq lists it as uncharacterized. NCBI's taxonomy places the organism in Eukaryota, Metazoa, Chordata, Mammalia, Carnivora, Felidae. The record is from RefSeq and is a predicted model, not a curated record. The transcript has 3 exons.
UUUCAGGUGUAUAAUAUAGUGAUUCAACAAUUUAUAAGGACUUUUUUUAAUGGCAGGAGGGCUUUGGUACUUUUUUAAAUAUUUUCAAAAAAAUUCUUGACUCUUCUCCCUUCAAGAAAUGGAGCUUAAUUCCUCUUCCCUUGACUGUGGACUUGAUUUAGUGGCUAACUUCUAACAAAUAGAGUAUUUGUGAAGGAAUGGGACUUCCCAAAUUAGGUCAUAAAAGACAUCACAGCUUCCUUCCUCUGCAUGCCCUCUCUUGGAUUAUUCACUCUGCGGAAAGCUAACUGUGAUAUCAUGAGAACGCUAAAUCAGCCCUAUGGAGAAGCCCAUGUGACAAGGAACUGAGGCCUCCUUGUCAAUAGCCAACAAGGAAUGGAGACCUUCAGCCAACACUCCCAACACUCAUCUUGGAAGAAGUACCUCUAGCAUAGUAGUUUUCAACUAGGGGUGAUUUUGCUGCCUAAGGAACCUGACAAUGUCUGGGAUAUUUUGGUCGUUACAACUAGGAAGGGAGGUAGGAUUGGCAUCUAGAAGGUAGAGGCCAUGGAUACUGCUAAAAUCCUAUAAUUCAGAACAAAUCCCCAUGCAACAAAGUAUUAUUCAUCCCAAACUAUCAAUAAUUCUAAGGGUGAGAAAUCUUGACCCAAUCAAACAGCAUAGUUGACAUCUAGAUUGUGAUGUCAUGAGAGACACUGAGUUAGAACCACCCAGCUAAACUGCUCUUAGAUUACAGACACUCAGAAAGUGUGUAAGUACUUCAGAAUCUAUUGAGGAGGCAGUGAGGAAAAGGACACAGCGAUGUAACAAAUGAUGUGUUAAAGACAAACGCUGGGAAAUAAUUCUUCUGGAUCAGAAGAAAUUUUCUUAGGUGGUCAAAUCUUCAGCCCACAUGAGCCACUUGCCCGGGCCUUGGCCUCUGCCAUUACAGCUCAGCCCUCACUGGAGUCUGUCCAGCAAGAACCUAGAAGCCUGCUAGUAAGAAGAGGUAUUCCUUCCUUAGCAGUCAUGGAGGAGGAAGAUGACAAAUACUAAGACAGCCCACUCCUUUUUCACCACAUUAUGCAUCGAAUAUCUAUUGCAUAGCAUUCCAAUAAAUGAAUGACAUCAAGAUGA